CCUACGGGAGGCAGCAGUGGGGAAUAUUGCGCAAUGGGCGAAACCCUGAUGCAGCGACGCCGCGUGAGUGAAGAAGGCAUUCGGUAUGUAAAGCUCUUUUAAGAGGGAAGAAAAUGACGCUAUCUGACUUAGAUGCCCCAGCUCACUAUGCGUCAGCAGCCGCGGGCAUACGUAGGGGGGAAGCGCUAUCUGGAUGUUUUGGGGGUAAAGGGAGAGUAGACGGGAUGGCAAGUCUGGAGUGAAAGGGGGGGGCUCAACCCCCGGACUGCUCUUGAAACUGUACGGCUGGAGUGCAGGAGAGGUAAGGGGAAUUCCUAGGGUAGCGGUGAAAUGCGUAGAUAUUAGGAGGAACACCAGUGGCGAAGGCGGCUUACUGGACUGUAACUGACGUUGAGGCUCGAAAGCGUGGGGAGCAAACAGGAUUAGACACCCGGGUAGUC
This 440-nucleotide ribosomal RNA is filed under the name uncultured bacterium. Its description in RNAcentral is "partial 16S ribosomal RNA". It matches the Rfam family "Bacterial small subunit ribosomal RNA", at positions 338 to 795 of the family's 1533-position model. The record is from RNAcentral.